UCGAUGCAACGCGAAGAACCUUACCUGGUCUUGACAUCCACGGAAGUUCUCAGAGAUGAGAAUGUGCCUUCGGGAACCGUGAGACAGGUGCUGCAUGGCUGUCGUCAGCUCGUGUUGUGAAAUGUUGGGUUAGGUCCCGCAACGAGCGCAACCCUUAUCCUUUGUUGCCAGCGGUCCGGCCGGGAACUCAAAGGAGACUGCCAGUGAUAAACUGGAGGAAGGUGGGGAUGACGUCAAGUCAUCAUGGCCCUUACGACCAGGGCUACACACGUGCUACAAUGGCGCAUACAAAGAGAAGCGACCUCGCGAGAGCAAGCGGACCUCAUAAAGUGCGUCGUAGUCCGGAUUGGAGUCUGCAACUCGACUCCAUGAAGUCGGAAUCGCUAGUAAUCGUGGAUCAGAAUGCCACGGUGAUACGUUCCCGGGCCUUGUACACACCGCCCGUCACACCAUGGGAGUGGGUUGCAAAAGAAGUAGGUAGCUUAACCUUCGGGAGGGCGCUUACCAC
Molecule: ribosomal RNA, 508 nt
Filed under: uncultured Pseudomonadota bacterium
Lineage: Bacteria; Pseudomonadati; Pseudomonadota
Description: bacterial SSU rRNA
Rfam family: Bacterial small subunit ribosomal RNA
Source: RNAcentral